GGGGAUUUAGCUCAGUGGUAGAGCGCUUGCCUACCAAGCACAAGGCCCUGGGUUCGGUCCCCAGCUCCA
This 69-nucleotide transfer RNA is filed under the name Rattus norvegicus (Norway rat). It matches the Rfam family "tRNA". From Rfam's summary of the family: Transfer RNA (tRNA) molecules are approximately 80 nucleotides in length. Their secondary structure includes four short double-helical elements and three loops (D, anti-codon, and T loops). The record is from Rfam by way of RNAcentral. Lineage: Eukaryota; Metazoa; Chordata; Mammalia; Rodentia; Muridae.